Grus americana (Whooping crane) is the source of this 2050-nucleotide long non-coding RNA. RefSeq lists it as uncharacterized. The transcript is spliced from 2 exons. NCBI's taxonomy places the organism in Eukaryota, Metazoa, Chordata, Aves, Gruiformes, Gruidae. The record is from RefSeq and is a predicted model, not a curated record.
GGGGGACUAGCACCUCCUCACUUCAGACAAGAUAGAAAAUACACUUUAUGCAGCAGGGAAAUUAACAGUUAUUUACCCUGCAUGCACUCUAGAAGAGAGGCCAUUGAGGCAAGCCAGCAAGUGUGUGAUUCCAUGACAAGUAAUCAUAGACUGAAAUGGGUUCGUGUCUUUUACUUCCUGAGAAACAGUUUUUCAGAGUAUAUCAUCUGCAUUUUUUCUUAUCUUCUGAGGACCUGUGUGCCAACUACUUGUACCCUAAGAAGAGUGGAUGCUCAAAAUUAGAGAAGAAACAUCAUCUAGGAAUGAAACUGAGACUCUUCUGACAAAUAAACAGACCCUGAUGAAGUGGGCAUCAAGGGAGGAUUUCUAAUUUUCUUCUUGAAAGCAAUAUGUUUCAUCUGUAUGCCACUUAUAAGUCAAUCAUGAGAAAGAGGAAAGACAGCCCUUUUCUGAAAGGCAAGAAUCAUCCUGAGCCAUCACCUUAUAUUGGAAGAAAGCUUUUCCCUCCCAACAGUUAUCAUCCUUUGUCAGCAUCACAGGAACGUCUAGGACACUGUAGUCAAAAGCAGGAGCUGUCACUGCUAAGCACUGUACACAAACACAGAUGCAUAUGAAAAGAAAAAUCCUACUCUGGAGAACUCUAAAUGUCUGUUAAUCAAAGGCGUAACAGUGAGGGAAGGUUAAUUAGCUCCAUUUUGUAGGUAGGAUAUCAAGGCAAAGGUGGGUUCAUUGACUUCUGUCGCAUAGGCAAGUAUUGAAUCUAAAUUUCUUAAAUCCUGGUUCUAUUUCAGUCCUCAAAACCACACUUUAUCAUAGGGAUUCUCUCUCUACACUUUCUCACAGCCUCACUUUCCCACCUAAAGGAAGACAAAGGAGACCAGUUUUGAGAUAGACAACUGAGGAGCUGUCAACAUCUUAAUGAAAUCUGAGGUCAGCUACAGUAAACUCUGAGUCUGUAUGCCUAGUCCCCUCUCAUUACAGCAUGUCAAGACACUUCCUAAAAUCAGCCAGGUCUGGUAUUGUGCCUCAAUGAUCUUCAAAAAUCUUCAUCCACUCAAAAAAAUUCUUAGAUUUAAGGUAAAUUAGUUAGUAAUCUCUGUAAAAAUAGAAGGAAGGAGAAAAUAAAGGAAGCGCACGUGCAAAAUUUGUCUUCAGAUAGCCAAGAAUCAGGUGACUAGGAAACUUAAUUGGAGUGGGCUGUGGAGAGCCAGUGUCUGUUCACUUACUUUGAAUUAGAAAAGGCAGGGGUUUGUACCAGGAAAGCUCCAUAUGUCAAGCAAAUAUCAUGCCUGCUUGUCUGGGUUGAUUUCUGCUUUGAUGGUCCUUCCACUUGAACAAAAAUUUUCUAACAGAUCCAGAAAAUCAGUGUCAGAUAAACUCAUGACCCAAACCACCAUGAUCCCUCAAAUGGAAAGGUCUUGAAUUGACAUUUUCUAGAGAAAAUACUUUCAUUAAAAAAGAAAAAAAAAAUCAAACAUAAGACCUUAACAAGAAUCUUAUGCAUUAUCAAGCACACUGUCUAGAUUAGGACCAAAAAAAAACCAAACAAAAAAAAAAAAAAAAAGGAGGAGCCAGAUCAUGAAGUGACAGAGACCAGUAGAUCUCAGAGUCAAGACAGCAAUGCUGAUUUCCUCUGGAUGUGCAGAAUCAGUAUCUAACUACAGCAUUUGGGAAGCAUAAGCAUUGCAUAUUAGUGUUAUCAUUGCAAGUGUGAAGGAAAGAGACUCACACGUAGACAAGCUUAAGGAGAAGUCAGGGUUAGGAGUUUUACUUGCUUCAGUCAAAGGAAAAAUGAUAAGAACUGUUCAUUCUGUAAAUGUGCCUUUCCUCACAGGCUAAAAAGUAAUUUUAAGAUGAACAAACUAACACAUGUGAUAACUCACACUCCAGGUUCAAAAGAGUGAAUCCAGGUUUUAGCAGCUGGAAGAACUGGUGAUUUAAGUUUGCAUGAUAGAUGCUAUGGGCUUACAGGUUUAGGAUUUCUGUAUAUCACUGACCUGGCCCCUGCUUCAGAAGCUAAACCCACUUACAGAAAAGCGGUUUUCUUUAA